AACGAACGCUGGCGGCAGGCUUAACACAUGCAAGUCGAACGGACCUUCCGUGGUGAGUUGCUGUCGGGUGAGUAACGCGUGGGAAGCUACCCUUCUCUACGGGAUACUUCCGGGUAACUGGAAUUAAUACCGUAUACGUUCUGAGGGUGAAAGAUUUAUCGGGGAAGGAUGAGCGCGCGUUGGUUUAGCUGGUUGGUGGUGUAAAGGCCUACCAAGGCGAGGAUCCAUAGCUGGUCUAAGAGGAUGAUCAGCCACAUUUGGACUAAGACACGGCCCAAACUCCUACGCAAGGGAGGAGAGGGUAAUAUUGGACAAUGGGGGCAGGCCUGAUCCAGCCAUGCCGGGUAAGUGAUGAAGGCCGUAGGGUUGUGAAGCUCUUUCAGACGGGGCGAUAAUGACGGUACCCACAGAAGAAGCCCCGGCUAACUUCGUG
RNAcentral lists this ribosomal RNA (433 nucleotides) under uncultured bacterium. Its description in RNAcentral is "partial 16S ribosomal RNA". It matches the Rfam family "Bacterial small subunit ribosomal RNA", at positions 29 to 507 of the family's 1533-position model. The record is from RNAcentral.